GUACGGCGAGUGAAGCGGCAAAAGCUCAAAUUUGAAAUCUGGUACCUUCGGUGCCCGAGUUGUAAUUUGGAGAGGGCAACUUUGGGGCCGUUCCUUGUCUAUGUUCCUUGGAACAGGACGUCAUAGAGGGUGAGAAUCCCGUGUGGCGAGGAGUGCGGUUCUUUGUAAAGUGCCUUCGAAGAGUCGAGUUGUUUGGGAAUGCAGCUCUAAGUGGGUGGUAAAUUCCAUCUAAAGCUAAAUAUUGGCGAGAGACCGAUAGCGAACAAGUACAGUGAUGGAAAGAUGAAAAGAACUUUGAAAAGAGAGUGAAAAAGUACGUGAAAUUGUUGAAAGGGAAGGGCAUUUGAUCAGACAUGGUGUUUUGUGCCCUCUGCUCCUUGUGGGUAGGGGAAUCUCGCAUUUCACUGGGCCAGCAUCAGUUUUGGUGGCAGGAUAAAUCCAUAGGAAUGUAGCUUGCCUCGGUAAGUAUUAUAGCCUGUGGGAAUACUGCCAGCUGGGACUGAGGACUGCGACGUAAGUCAAGGAUGCUGGCAUAAUGGUUAUAUGCCGCCCGUCUUGAAC
RNAcentral lists this ribosomal RNA (561 nucleotides) under Saccharomyces cerevisiae (brewer's yeast). RNAcentral's name for it is "partial large subunit ribosomal RNA". It matches the Rfam family "Eukaryotic large subunit ribosomal RNA", at positions 83 to 659 of the family's 3401-position model. Lineage: Eukaryota; Fungi; Ascomycota; Saccharomycetes; Saccharomycetales; Saccharomycetaceae. The record is from RNAcentral.